RNAcentral lists this ribosomal RNA (253 nucleotides) under uncultured bacterium. RNAcentral's name for it is "partial 16S ribosomal RNA". It matches the Rfam family "Bacterial small subunit ribosomal RNA", at positions 524 to 776 of the family's 1533-position model. The record is from RNAcentral.
UACGUAGGUGGCAAGCGUUGUCCGGAUUUACUGGGUGUAAAGGGAGCGCAGGCGGCGUGGCAAGUCAGAUGUGAAAACCCGGGGCCCAACCCCGGGAGUGCAUUUGAAACUGCCAUGCUGGAGUGCCGGAGAGGUAAGCGGAAUUCCUUGUGUAGCGGUGAAAUGCGUAGAUAUAAGGAAGAACACCAGUGGCGAAGGCGGAUUACUGGACGAUAACUGACGCUGAGGCUCGAAAGCGUGGGGAGCAAACAGG